RNAcentral lists this long non-coding RNA (9709 nucleotides) under Solanum tuberosum (potato). Its description in RNAcentral is "long non-coding RNA (STUB_LNC009483)". Lineage: Eukaryota; Viridiplantae; Streptophyta; Magnoliopsida; Solanales; Solanaceae. The record is from RNAcentral.
ACGUGUCCCCUCACACCUUCAAUUUAUGCAUUCAAAAUCUUAUUAUAAAUACAGCCCAAAAAUGCAUUAGUUUCUUCAUCCCUCAAUUUUCAUAUUUCAUAAGUACUAAGCUUUGAAACAAAAAUAAAAGAAUUAAGAAGAAUGGGUUCCAAGGCAAUUAUGUUUCUUGGUCUUUUUUUGGCUAUUUUCUUAAUGAUAAGCUCUGAGGUUGCAGCUAGGGAGUUGGCAGCUGAGACUUCCAAUGGUAAGCAUUUCUUUUCAUUUGUUCCCUCUCUUAGGGUAUGUUCGAUAAAAAAAAAUAUUUUUCAUGAAAAAUAUUUUGUAAGAAAAUAUAAGUGACUUCUUUAUUUACUUUUUUGUGUUCAAUAUCGUGAUAUAAUCUAGACAGAUAUAUAAUUGGUGGGGUUGGAUGGUGACGGUGGGAUGAAGAUGGGGCGAAGAUAAAUAUGUUUGAUCAUAAAAUUUGUCUACUUUUUGAAAAUUAUUUGAAACAAAAUCCCAAAAUUUCAAUCACUAAUGCUGUAGUUUGAUCAUGACACUUAAUAUAUAUUCUUUUUGUUUCAUGUUAUACGUCUCAAUUACUAUGCAUAAAGUAUAAGAAUAUACCAUAAACUUCCCAAACUUUGCUAAACUAAACUAAAGGUAUGUAAAUUAUAUUAUAAAUGCCCUAUGAGUUUUGUGAUCUUAUGUUACAUUGAAAUUAAAAAAAUUACAAUUAAAUAUAUAUAGGAAGAGGAGUACUCAUUUUGAAAUAUAAUAAAAAGGAAAGUACGACAUAUAAAUUGAAGUGCAAUUCAAAGACUAGUAAUGACUCAUCGUACGUGUUAGCUAGUUUAAUUAAUCUUCACAAUUCAUCGAUGCAGCGGUAAACGUUGAUGGACAUUAUUAUGGAGGCGGCUAUGGUAAGGGCCAUGGAAAACCUAAGAAAUGUUAUAGUUGCUGCAAGAAAUACAAAUAUGGAUGCAAAAAAUACUGCUGCUCUUAUGAAGAAUAUGUGGCUGCCCAGACUCACAACUAAAUAAUUAAUUAUUAUUGUAAACUUUUGAAAUUAAGUGACAAGAUACUAAUAAUCUUGCUACUUAAGACCCUUUGCUUGUAACAAGUAUGAAUAAAGCCAUUCAUUUACAAUGAAUGGUUGGUCAUGAUGUAAUGUUUUGUUGUACAAUAUAUCAUAUUGUGUUAAAAAUGUUUCCCUAAUGUUAAGAUUUUCUUCUUAUUUUUACUUAAGUAUUCUAUCAUCCCUUAAUCAUAUGUUUCAAGAUUGAAUCCUGGUCCGAAUAUAGAAUUGUCUUUGUUACAUAGUAUUUUACUCUAUUUGAAUUUUUUACCGUGAAUCCAAUUUAUUUAAGGCAUCUCUAAUUAAGGAUAUUGAACAUUGAGGGGAAAUUUUAAAAUAUUUAAUUUUCUUGUUAUUUAAUAAAGUAAGGAAAACAAUGCAGAAAAAAAGAAACAAUUUGUUCUUUUCUUUGUAUAAUAUUUAAAAAAAUAUAAUCACAGAAGAAAUAAAAUUAAAGCAUGGGGGACAAACGACUAAUAAUGUCAAAUCAUCACUUAUUUUUUUAUUUCUAAUGAACACUUUAGUCAGGGCUGAAAUCGAAAUUUUAUGAAAACAUCACAACAUAUAAACAAAAAUGAACACAUGAGUAAAUUUUAAUGAUUCAAUAUAUGAUACAAUGUAGUAGCUUUUUUCGACGAAGGAGAGUCAAUUAACAAUAUUAGAUAAGGAUGGUUACAUCAUUAAUAUUCACGAUCACCAUUAAGGGCGUAUUUACCUUAAGCUCGCAAUAUAUAUAUGCAACGUCAACCAAAUAACUCACAUUAGGGGUGUACAAAAAUGAACCGAAAACCGAAUUAAACCGCAAAUCGAGAAAAAAAAAUCCGACUAGUGGUUGGUUUGACUUGGUUUGGUAUUGAAAAAAAAACCCAACUAUAUUUGGGUUGGUUUGGUUUUAACUAAAAAAAACCAACCCGAGACCAAACCAACACGUCAUUAUAUAUAUAAUUUUAAAAUUUAUUUUAUAUUUUAUACAUAAAAAUAUUUACUUUGAAAUAAUUUUUAAAUCUUUCUUAUACUUUUUCAUAGUUUUUAUCUUUUAAUAUAUUAUUNNNNNNNNNNNNNNNNNNNNNNNNNNNNNNNNNNNNNNNNNNNNNNNNNNNNNNNNNNNNNNNNNNNNNNNNNNNNNNNNNNNNNNNNNNNNNNNNNNNNNNNNNNNNNNNNNNNNNNNNNNNNNNNNNNNNNNNNNNNNNNNNNNNNNNNNNNNNNNNNNNNNNNNNNNNNNNNNNNNNNNNNNNNNNNNNNNNNNNNNNNNNNNNNNNNNNNNNNNNNNNNNNNNNNNNNNNNNNNNNNNNNNNNNNNNNNNNNNNNNNNNNNNNNNNNNNNNNNNNNNNNNNNNNNNGAAAACAAAAAUACAGAAUGAUUAUUAUGAAAAAAAUAAGUGAACAAAUGGGGUUCUUUUGUAUAUUUUAUUUUUUGUUAUUGCUGAAUUUGCCGAACUUUUACAGCUUGUUUGAGUACUUGUUACCUAUAUAGUUGUAUUUUGGUGGCGAAAUGGUCUAAUAGACCCCUGUACUUGUAUGAGUUUGUAUUGUGAACCCUUCUACUUAACUCUUUAUCAAUUGAACCCUUAAACUUAUAAAACACAAUUUAUCAAACCCCUCUGACCAUUGACUAGGCUUAUGUGGCAUCAAUAUGGUUGAGUUGGCAAGAGUGUGUGAAUUCACUCUCGUUAAGGCGAGUGAUAUCCUAUUUAAGUUUUAAAAAAUAUUAAAAAAUUAAAAAAAAAUAAAACAAUAAAACAAAAAAACUUUAAAAAAAAUAACUAAAAAAGGCUUUCUUCUUCCGCCAACAGGUUCACAUCCAUUUUUGGCCAUCUCCAUCCCUGUCCAAUCCAUUUUUCUUUCUUCUUCACACUCUUGUCAUCUUCUUUAGCAGAUCUUCGCAUUGGCACCUAGAGAGAGACGACGCAGGUCAGUGGAAGAAGAACGAGGCGGUUGAGGGUAGGAUCUGGUCACGACAGCGAAGAGGUUUUUCGGUCAGAUCUGGUGGCCAUGGUGCGACGGAGAUGAAGACGGGUGAGGAAGAGGGCACGUAUGGUCGCCGGCAAGAGUUGCGACGACGACUGAGACGGCGGCGAGGAGCCUCCUAGAAUAUUUGUAUGCCGGAGACAGUAAGGGGUUUCUUGGCCUUCUGAUACUCCGGAGAGGAUGAAGAGCAUAUCGGUCGGUGAUGGUGAGGGGAGAGAAGCUAGUGCGGUGGCUUAGGGUUUCUAGAUUUGUGGAGGUUAGAGAAGGAGAAAAGAAAAUGGUAAGGGUGUGCGAUGAAGAUGGAGGUUGGUGGGGAGAUCGUAUUUGUGGUCUCGCCGGCAAGAGGAGCGGCAACAGCAGCGACUUUUUCCGACAGUUGGGCCAUUUCACGGUGAAAAUGGAAGAUGAUGUGAGGAGACCCAAACUUUUAAUUUAAAAUAAUAAAUUAAAAUUUAAUUUGUCAAAAUUACAUCAAAACUUUAUGAUUUUUCUUUUGUUAAAAAAGAAAUUAUUAUAUAAAAAAAAAAUGAUGUGGCAAAUUUUAUCUGACAUAGCGUAUGACAUUAGCGUGAUUGAGAAUCACGAUGAGUUGAAAGGGUUCAAUAGGUUGAGUUUAGAUGGGUUCAGGGGUCCAUAUGACAAAGAGGUAAGUAGAAGAAUUCACAAUACAAACGCAUACAAGUACAAGGGUCCACCAGAUCAUUUUGCCUAUUUUGGUAGGACUAAAGAAAUAUUUGAAGUACAAGUAAAUUAUAUGUUCGUAUGAAUACUUUACCGGAAAAACCCGAAAAAUCCGAGGUUGAAAAACCCGAGUUUUAUUGAUUUGGUUUGGUUUAUAGAUUUAAAAAUUCAACACAAAUGGUUGGAUUUGAUAAUUGAAAAAUCCGAACCAACCCGGUCAUGUACACCCCUAACUCACAUGAUUAUGAAUCAAGGAAAAGAAUAAAUAAUUUUCGUCAUGUUGUGCAAAAAUAUAUAUUUCUAAUCUUAUUAAUAUUAGGUUAGGGGGAAACCUUUUUUGGGUUAUUUAUUAUUUCUAUCUAUAUUUUGUGUAUAUAUAUAAAAAAAAAAUUGCAUAAUAUAUAAACGUAUCCUUUAAUUUGGUCUCAACUGACAUCUAGCCCUCCAACUUUGGAUGUGCACAAGUAGGGACUUAAACUUGUAUAGAGUUGAACAAGUAGACACACUAGUCCUACGUGACAUAAUACGCAUAGGACACCAUGUACGACACAAAUUAUCAUGUAGGACAUGUAUAUCUACUUGUUCUAUUAUAUAUAAACUUAAGUGUUUACCAUUAGUACACAUCCAAAAUUAAAGGUUAUAAAUAUCGAUUAAGGUCAAAAUAAAAUAAUAUUUUCAUGUAUUAUACUUGUUUUUUUAGAAGACUUUUCUUGAGUUAUAAAGCAAUAAAGAGAGUUGGCCCCUCUUAUUUAACUUGAUACGUUGUACAUUAAAAGAGUCAUUAAAUACGUCAUUUAAAGUCUUUGAGUAUUGACCAAAUCCAAGAGUAUAUAUACACCACUAUUUCUAGAUAUUUUAGGAUAAGGUAGUCCUACAAGUUAGCAUAUUUUAAAUUACUUUUUUGCAUAACUAUCCAAAAAUAUACUAUUAACACGACGAUUUAUUAUCGAAAUAUAUAAUACCCAUCACAUGCAUAUUAUUUUUUAAAGUUAUUUUAAUGUUUGAUUUUCUACUAAGUAUUAAUCUUUGUUUUUAGUUUGUUUUGUCGGAUGGUGUACGUAAGCCACUUGGUCAUAUUGAUGUGAUAUAUUUACAAAUAUUUUUUCGAAAAAAUAAGUAAAUUUUUAUCUAUUCUUAUGUUUUUUUAUAGGGAAAAAGUCUGAAAUAUAUUCGAACUUUAGCCAUUCUACUUAAUUUUACUAAUGGUGUUAUAGUAUUAACGUAUGUACUUGUGCCUUUCUACUUUUACUAAUGGUGUUUUGAUUAUUUUUAACUUUUAAUUUGAUUAUUUUGAAUAUUUAAGAUUUGUAAAAUACAAACAGAUACAAUUUAUAAAUAUUAUGUUUUUUUCAUCUUAACAAAAUAUUACUUACGACUCCACCAUAAAAUCAACACUCUAUUUAUCUACCACUUGUAGAGCAAGUUGUUCAUUUCUUUGGUCCAUACAUAAUUGCAAUCCGUAUAUGUAUCCCCUCACACCUCUAAUUAUUUAUGCAUUCAAAUCUUAUUAUAAAUAGAGCCCAAAAAUGCAUUAGUUUCUUCAUCCCUCAAUUUUCAUAUUUCAUAAGUACUAAGUUUUGAACAAAAGAAAAAUUAAAAAGAAUGGGUUCCAAGGCAAUUAUGUUUCUUGGUCUUUUUUUGGCUAUUUUCUUAAUGAUAAGCUCUGAGGUUGCAGCUAGGGAGUUGGCAGCUGAGACUUCCAAUGGUAAGCAUUUCUUUUCAUUUGUUCCCUCUCUUAGGGUGUGUUCGAUAAAAAAAAAAUGUUUUCAUGAAAAAUAUUUUGUAAGAAAAUAUAAGUGACUUCUUUAUUUACUUUGUUGUGUUUAAUAUUGUGAUAUAAUCUAGAUAAAUAUAUAAUUGGUGGGGUUGGAUGAUGACGGUGGGAUGAGGAUGGGGGAAGAUAAAUAUGUUUGAUCAUAAAAUUUGUCUACUUUUUGAAAAUUAUUGGAAACGAAAUCCCAAAAUUUCAAUUAAUAAUGCUAUAGUUUGAUCAUGACACUAAAUAUACAUUCCUUUUGUUUCAUUUUAUAUGUCUCAAUUACUAUGCAUAAAGUUUAAGAAUAUACCAUAAACUUUCCAAUCUUUGCUAAACUAAACUAAAGGCGUGUAAAUUAUAUUAUAAAUGUCCUAUGAAUUUUGUGAUCUUAUGUUACAUUGGAAUUAAAAAAAUUAAUUACAAUUAAAUAUAUAUAGUUAAUGGAGUACUCAUUUUGAAAUAUAAUAAAAAGGAAAGUACGACAUAUAAAUUGAAGCUCAAUUCAGAGACUAGUCAUAACUCAUCGUACGUGUUAGCUAGUUUAAUUAAUCUUCACAAUUCAUCGAUGCAGCGGUAAACGUUGAUGGACAUUAUUAUGGCGGUGGCUAUCACGAGGGCUAUGGAAAACCUAAGAAAUGUCAUAGUUGCUGCAAAAAAUACAAUAUGGAUGCAUAAAAUACUGCUGCUCUUAUGAAGAAUAUGUGGCUGCCCAGACUCACAACUAAAUAAUUAAUUGUGUGUAUUAUUAUUGUAAACUUUUGAAAUUAAGUGACAAGAUAAUAAUAAUCUUGUUACUUAAGACCCUUUGCUUGUAACAAGUAUGAAUAAAGCCAUUCAUUUACUAUGAAUGGUUGGUCAUGAUGUAAUGUUUUGUUGUACAAUAUAUCAUAUUGUGUUAAAAAAUGUUUCCCUAAUGUUAAGAUUUUCUUCUUAUUUUUACUUUAAGUAUUAUAUUCUAUCAUCCUUUAAUCAUAUAUUUCAGGAUUGAAUCCUGAUCCGAAUAUAGAAUUGUCUUUGUUACAUAGUGUUUUACUUGAUCUGAAUUUUUUAACGUGAAUCCAAUUUAUUUAAGGCAUCUCUAAGGAUAUUGAACAUCGAGGGGAAAAUUUAAAAUAUUUAAUUUUCUUGUUAUUUAAUAAAGUAAGGAAAACAAUGCAGAAAAAAGAAACAAUUUGUUCUUUUCUUUGUCUAAUAUUUUUUAAAAGUAUAAUCACAGAAGAAAUAAAAUUAAAGCAUGGGGGACAAAAGACUAAUAAUGUCAAAUCAUCACUUAUUUUUUGAUUUCUAAUGAACACUCUAGUCAGGGCUGAAAUCGAAAUUUUAUGAAAACAUCACAAUAUAAACAAAAAUAAACACAUGAGUAAAUUUUAAUGAUUCAAUAUAUGAUACAAUGUAGUAACUUUUUUCGACGAAGGAGAGUCAAUUAACACUCUUAGAUAAGGAUGGUUACAUCAUUAAUAUUCACGAUCACCAUUAGGGGCGGAUUUACCUUAAGCUCGCAAUGCCAUCUAGCUAUUAGUCAUGCAUGGAAAAUAAAUUUUCUUAUGCACAUGAUCAACUAAAUAAAUAUCGUAUUAUUUAGAAAAGAUUUAUAUAUAUAUAUGCAACAUCAACCAAAUAACUCACAAUCUCACAUGAUUAUUAAUCAGGGAAAAGAUUAAAUAAUUUUCGUCAUGUUGUGCAAAAAUAUAUAUUUCUAAUCUUAUUAAUAUUAGGUUAGGGGGGGAAACCGUUUUUUUGGGUUAUUUAUUAUUUCUAUCUAUAUUUUGUGUAUAUAUAUAAAAAAAAAUUAGCAUAAAAUAUAAACGUAUCCUUUAAUUUGGUCUCAACUGACAUCUAGCCCUCCAACUUUGGAUGUGCACAAGUAGAGACUUAAACUUGUAUAGAGUUGAACAAGUAGACACACUAAUCCUACAUGACAUAAUACGUGUAGGACCGCAUGUACGACACAAAUUAUCAUGUAGAACAUGUGUGUUUACUUAUUCUAUUAUAUAUAAAGUUAAGUGUUUACCAUUAGUACACAUUCAAAAUUAAAGGUUAUAAAUAUCGGUUAAGGUCAAAAUAAAAUAAUAUUUUCAUGUAUUAUACUUGUUUUUUUAGUAAGACUUUUCUUGAGUUAUAAAGCAAAUGAAGAGAGUUGGCCCCUCUUAUUUAACUUGAUACGUUGUACAUUAAAUACGUCAUUUAAAGUCUUUGAGUAUUGACCAAAUCCAAGAGUAUAUAUACACCACUAUUUCUAGAUAUUUUAGGAUAAGGUAGUCCUACAUGUUAGCAUAUUUUAAAUUACUUUUUUGCAUAACUGUCCAAAAAUAUACUAUUAACACGACGAUUUAUUAUCGAAAUAUAUAAUACCCAUCACAUGCAUAUUAUUUUUUAAAGUUAUUUUAAUGUUGUUUGAUUAUCUACUAAGUAUUAAUCUUUGUUUUUAGUUUGUUUUGUCGGACGGUGUACGUAAGCCACUUGGUCAUAUUGAUGUGAUAUAUUUACAAAUAUCUUUUCGAAAAAAUAAGUAAAUUUUUAUCUAUUCUUAUUUUUUUUAUAGGGAAAAAAGACUGAAAUAUAUACAAACUUUGGCCAUUCUACUUUUAAUAAUGGUGUUAUAGUAUUAACGUAUGUACUUGUGCCUCUCUACUUUUACUAAUGGUGUUUCGAUAUUUUUAACUUUUAAUUUGAUUAUUUUGAAUAUUUAAGAUUUGUAAAAUACAAACAAAUACAAUUUAUAAAUAUUAUGUUUUUUUCAUCUUAACAAAAUAUUACUUACGACUCCACCAUAAAAUCAACACUCUAUUUAUCUGCCACUUGUAGAGCAAGCUCAUUUCUUUGGUCCAUAAAAUAAUUGCAAUCCGUACAUGUGUCCCCUCACACCUCUAAUUAUUUAUGCAUUCAAAUCUUAUUAUAAAUGAGCCCAAACAUGCAUUAGUUUCUUCAUCCCUCAAUUUUCAUAUUUCAUAAGUACUAAGUUUUGAACAAAAGAAAAAUUAAAAAGAAUGGGUUCCAAGGCAAUUAUGUUUCUUGGUAUUUUUUUGGCUAUUUUCUUAAUGAUAAGCUCUGAGGUUGCAGCUAGGGAGUUGGCAGCUGAGACUUCCAAUGGUAAGCAUUUCUUCUCAUUUGUUCCCUCUCUUAGGGUGUGUUCGAUAAAAAAAAAUGUUUUUCAUGAAAUAUAUUUUGUAAGAAAAUAUGAAUGACUUCUUUAUUUACUUUUUUGUGUUCAAUAUUGUGAUAUAAUCUAGACAGAUAUAUAAUUGGUGGGGUUGGAUGGUGAGGGUGUGGGGAUGAGGAUGGGGGCGAAGAUAAAUAUGUUUGGUCAUAAAAUUUGUCUACUUUUUAAAAAUUAUUGGAAACCAAAUCCAAAAAUUUCAAUCACUAAUGCUAUAGUUUGAUCAUGACAUUUAAUAUACAUUCCUUUUGUUUCAUUUAAUAUAUGUCUCAAUUACAAGGCAUAAACCUUCCAAUCUUUGCUAAACUAAACUAAAGGUGUGUAAAUUAUAUUAUAAAUGUCCUACGAAUUUUGUGAUCUUUUGUUACAUUGAACUUAAAAAAUAUACAAUUAAAUAUAUAUAGGAAAAGGAGUACUCAUUUUGAAAUAUAAUAAAAAGGAAAGUACGACAUAUAAAUUGAAGCUCAAUUCAGAGACUAGUCAUGACUCAUCGUAUGUGUAAGCUAGUUUAAUUAAUCUUCACAAUUCAUCGAUGUAGCGGUCAACGUUGAUGGACAUUAUCAUGGUGGCGGCUAUGGUAAGGGCUAUGGAAAACCUAAAAAAUGUUAUAGUUGCUGCAAGAAAACCAAAUAUGGAUGCAAAAAAUACUGCUGCUCUUAUGAAGAAUAUGUGGCUGCCCAGACUCACAACUAAAUAAUUAAUUGUGUGUAUUAUUAUUGUAAACUUUUGAAAUUAAGUGACAAGAUAAUAAUAAUCUUGCUACUUAAGACCCUUUGCUUGUAACAAGUAUGAAUAAAGCCAUUCAUUUACUAUGAAUGGUUGGUCAUGAUGUAAUGUUUUGUUGUACAAUAUAUCAUAUUGUGUUAAAAAUGUUUCCCUAAUGUUAAGAUUUCCUUCUUAUUUUUACUUAAGUAUUCUAUCAUCCUUUAAUCAUAUGUUUCAGGAUUGAAUCCUGAUCCGAAUAUAAAAUCGUCUUUAUUACAUAGCUUUUACUCGAUCUGAAUUUUUUACCGUGAAUCCAAUUUAUUUAAGGCAUCUCUAAUUAAGGAUAUUGAACAUUGAGGGGAAAAAUUUAAAAUAUUUAAUUUUCU